This 468-nucleotide ribosomal RNA is filed under the name uncultured bacterium. RNAcentral describes it as "partial 16S ribosomal RNA". It matches the Rfam family "Bacterial small subunit ribosomal RNA", at positions 28 to 507 of the family's 1533-position model. The record is from RNAcentral.
GACGAACACUGGCGGCGUGCUUAACACAUGCAAGUCGAACGGAAAGGCCCUGCUUUUGUGGGGUGCUCGAUUGGCGAACGGGUGAGUAACACGUGAGUAACCUGCCCUUGACUUUGGGAUAACUUCAGGAAACUGGGGCUAAUACCGGAUAGGAUCUCCUGCUGCAUGGUGGGGGUUGGAAAGUUUCGGCGGUUGGGGAUGGACUCGCGGCUUAUCAGCUUGUUGGUGGGGUAGUGGCUUACCAAGGCUUUGACGGGUAGCCGGCCUGAGAGGGUGACCGGCCACAUUGGGACUGAGAUACGGCCCAGACUCCUACGGGAGGCAGCAGUGGGGAAUAUUGCACAAUGGGAGGAAGCCUGAUGCAGCAACGCCGCGUGCGGGAUGACGGCCUUCGGGUUGUAAACCGCUUUCGCCUGUGACGAAGCGUGAGUGACGGUAAUGGGUAAAGAAGCACCGGCUAACUACGUG